AAACCUCUUUUCUCAAGGAAGAAGAUCUGACGGUACUUGAUGAAUAAGCCACGGCUAAUUCCGUGCCAGCAGCCGCGGUAAUACGGAAGUGGCAAGCGUUAUCCGGAAUUAUUGGGCGUAAAGCGUCCGCAGGCGGUUUUUUAAGUCUGUUGUCAAAGGGUGGAGCUUAACUCCAUUUCGGCAAUGGAAACUGGAAAGCUUGAGUGUGGUAGGGGCAGAGGGAAUUCCCGGUGUAGCGGUGAAAUGCGUAGAUAUCGGGAAGAACACCAGUGGCGAAGGCGCUCUGCUGGGCCAUAACUGACGCUCAUGGACGAAAGCCAGGGGAGCGAAAGGGAUU
This 337-nucleotide ribosomal RNA is filed under the name uncultured Synechococcus sp. RNAcentral's name for it is "bacterial SSU rRNA". It matches the Rfam family "Bacterial small subunit ribosomal RNA", at positions 427 to 779 of the family's 1533-position model. The record is from RNAcentral. Lineage: Bacteria; Bacillati; Cyanobacteriota; Cyanophyceae; Synechococcales; Synechococcaceae.